Molecule: ribosomal RNA, 358 nt
Filed under: uncultured bacterium
Lineage: Bacteria
Description: bacterial SSU rRNA
Rfam family: Bacterial small subunit ribosomal RNA
Source: RNAcentral
AGGCGACGACGGGUAGCCGGCCUGAGAGGGCGACCGGCCACACUGGGACUGAGACACGGCCCAGACUCCUACGGGAGGCAGCAGUGGGGAAUAUUGGGCAAUGGGCGCAAGCCUGACCCAGCGACGCCGCGUGAGGGAUGAAGGCCUUCGGGUUGUAAACCUCUUUCAGUAGGGAAGAAGCGAAAGUGACGGUACCUAAAGAAGAAGCACCGGCUAACUAUGUGCCAGCAGCCGCGGUAAUACAUAGGGUGCAAGCGUUGUCCGGAAUUAUUGGGCGUAAAGAGCUCGUAGGUCGUUUGCCGCGUCGAUUGUGAAAAUCUGAGGCUCAACCUCAGACCUGCAGUCGAUACGGGCAAAC